RNAcentral lists this ribosomal RNA (253 nucleotides) under uncultured bacterium. RNAcentral's name for it is "partial 16S ribosomal RNA". It matches the Rfam family "Bacterial small subunit ribosomal RNA", at positions 524 to 776 of the family's 1533-position model. The record is from RNAcentral.
UACGGAGGGUGCAAGCGUUGUUCGGAAUUACUGGGCGUAAAGCGCGUGUAGGUGGGUCAAGAAGUCGGGUGUGAAAUCCCUCGGCUUAACCGAGGAAUGGCGCCCGAAACCAUUGAUCUUGAGGUCCGGAGGGGAUCGGGGAAUUCCCAGUGUAGAGGUGAAAUUCGUAGAUAUUGGGAGGAACACCGGUGGCGAAAGCGCCGAUCUGGACGGACUCUGACACUCAGACGCGAAAGCGUGGGUAGCAAACAGG